AUCACUACUAUCCACACAAUCAACACAUCUAUUUAUUGCCGGAAUGUGCGAUCCAACAAGUCUGCAAUGCAGUUUAUGUGCGCCUAAAUUAUACACAACCACUAUGUGCCUGUCCAUCGAGGUACCGUGAUCCGUGCUCUGCUAGCCUAAAUGAAGAUGAUCAGCACACCACGAAGCUAAUCGGUGAUGGUAAAAAAAAAGCAAUUACCUUAGCGAAGACAUGCGAGGCAACAACGGAGAUGCGUGAGUGUCGCUCGCCAAAGGAUUGGU
Teleopsis dalmanni is the source of this 270-nucleotide long non-coding RNA. RefSeq lists it as uncharacterized. Lineage: Eukaryota; Metazoa; Arthropoda; Insecta; Diptera; Diopsidae. The record is from RefSeq and is a predicted model, not a curated record. The transcript is spliced from 3 exons.